This 566-nucleotide long non-coding RNA is filed under the name Brachypodium distachyon (stiff brome). RNAcentral's name for it is "long non-coding RNA (BDIS_LNC004611)". The record is from RNAcentral. Lineage: Eukaryota; Viridiplantae; Streptophyta; Magnoliopsida; Poales; Poaceae.
CGGCGGCGUGGGCACGUGCGAGCGAGGGCGAACAGAGGGGGAGAAGAGAGAGGGGGCUCCGGGCUUUAUAGAGGCGUGCUCGGGUUGCUUCGGGAAGGCCGGGAUCACCGGACUCCGGAGAUGGCGGCGCGGCGCGGGCUGCUUUCCAUCCUGGAAGAUGGACCUAACAGGUGGGCCCCACUUGUCAGUGUCUCAACAUACGCGCGCGGACUGGGCUGGCUCGGUUCAGCUCAGGCGCGGUUGGGACGGGGCUGGUUCGGCCCAAAACGGCCGGGCCGGUCCGUUUCUUCCUUUUUUUUUUCUUUUUUCCUUUUUCUCAUUUCUUUGAUAUCUUUUGAUUUUGAACUCCAAAUUGAUCCAAAUAAAUUCCAGAAAAUUUGUAAAAUCAUGUUUUAUCAUGAUUCAACUUUUGGGGGUAAUUUCCCCUCAAAAUAAAAUAUCUAAAAAUACAUUUCCCUAUAAAUGCCUUUAGGGCUACAUAACUAUUUAAAUAAAAUAGUUUUUCAACUCCAAAUAAUUAUCCAAAAAUUAUGGGAUUGCCUAAUUAUGCAAUAAACCCCUUUUGU